AACGAACGCUGGCGGCAGGCCUAACACAUGCAAGUCGAGCGCGCCCUUCGGGGUGAGCGGCGGACGGGUUAGUAACGCGUGGGAAUAUGCCCAGAUCUGCGGAAUAGCCUCUGGAAACGGAGAGUAAUACCGCAUACGCCCUUCGGGGGAAAGAUUUAUCGGAUUUGGAUUAGCCCGCGUUGGAUUAGGUAGUUGGUGGGGUAAUGGCCUACCAAGCCGACGAUCCAUAGCUGGUUUGAGAGGAUGAUCAGCAACACUGGGACUGAGACACGGCCCAGACUCCUACGGGAGGCAGCAGUGGGGAAUAUUGGACAAUGGGGGCAACCCUGAUCUAGCCAUGCCGCGUGAGUGACGAAGGCCCUAGGGUCGUAAAGCUCUUUCAGCUGUGAAGAUAAUGACGGUAGCAGCAGAAGAAACCCCGGCUAACUCCGUG
This 433-nucleotide ribosomal RNA is filed under the name uncultured bacterium. Its description in RNAcentral is "bacterial SSU rRNA". It matches the Rfam family "Bacterial small subunit ribosomal RNA", at positions 29 to 507 of the family's 1533-position model. The record is from RNAcentral.